UAGAGUUUGAUCAUGGCUCAGGACGAACGCUGGCGGCGUGCUUAACACAUGCAAGUCGAACGGAAAGGCCCUUCGGGGUACUCGAGUGGCGAACGGGUGAGUAACACGUGGGUGAUCUGCCCUGCACUCUGGGAUAAGCCUGGGAAACUGGGUCUAAUACCGGAUAGGACCACACACUUCAUGGUGAGUGGUGCAAAGCUUUUGCGGUGUGGGAUGAGCCCGCGGCCUAUCAGCUUGUUGGUGGGGUAAUGGCCCACCAAGGCGACGACGGGUAGCCGGCCUGAGAGGGUGACCGGCCACACUGGGACUGAGAUACGGCCCAGACUCCUACGGGAGGCAGCAGUGGGGAAUAUUGCACAAUGGGCGCAAGCCUGAUGCAGCGACGCCGCGUGAGGGAUGACGGCCUUCGGGUUGUAAACCUCUUUCAGUAGGGACGAAGCGAAAGUGACGGUACCUACAGAAGAAGGACCGGCCAACUACGUGCCAGCAGCCGCGGUAAUACGUAGGGUCCGAGCGUUGUCCGGAAUUACUGGGCGUAAAGAGCUCGUAGGUGGUUUGUCGCGUUGUUCGUGAAAACUCACAGCUUAACUGUGGGCGUGCGGGCGAUACGGGCAGACUAGAGUACUGCAGGGGAGACUGGAAUUCCUGGUGUAGCGGUGGAAUGCGCAGAUAUCAGGAGGAACACCGGUGGCGAAGGCGGGUCUCUGGGCAGUAACUGACGCUGAGGAGCGAAAGCGUGGGUAGCGAACAGGAUUAGAUACCCUGGUAGUCCACGCCGUAAACGGUGGGUACUAGGUGUGGGUUUCCUUCCUUGGGAUCCGUGCCGUAGCUAACGCAUUAAGUACCCCGCCUGGGGAGUACGGUCGCAA
This 869-nucleotide ribosomal RNA is filed under the name Mycobacterium sp. TR-1536. Its description in RNAcentral is "bacterial SSU rRNA". It matches the Rfam family "Bacterial small subunit ribosomal RNA", at positions 1 to 891 of the family's 1533-position model. The record is from RNAcentral. Lineage: Bacteria; Bacillati; Actinomycetota; Actinomycetes; Mycobacteriales; Mycobacteriaceae.